UCCAAAAUGCCGAAGGGGAUCAUGAUUUUUCUGACAGAGGAAGGAAUCUGUAAUAACACUACAAUAGUACAGGCCAGUAAACUUUAGCAGAUCUUGUUUUUUUUGCUGGGGAGGCCACUGCUGAGCAAAGAUGGGAUGCAAUGUAUCACUUGUCUCUCUGUGUGCAUGGGGUUGAAGUGCUGAACGGUAAAAUUCUUGCUAAACCCUGCAAAACUGCAUCUGACAUUCCUUGAGAUAGGACAGAGGCUAACUCAGUCGCUGAGUAAGCAUAACUGGUGGGCCUUAAAAUAUCUGUAGACUAUAAGAGAAUUGCUGAACUAACAAGCUGCUGAGCCAGCAUAAUGAAUAGAACAUAGCAAAAAUAAUGCAAUAGCUUUGUGGUUAAGACAGCUGUAAACGAAAGAAAAGAGAAGCUGUCUAUCAGCUCAUUUCAAAGAACUGGCUCCUCAGUCUCUUGUAUUUGGACUAAAAUGGAUUCAGCAAAACAGCAGAAGGAUAGUCUGGACAGCUGAGAAUGUGUGUGGCCUGUGGGUCACAGCAUUAUAAGGAGAUAAAAGAGAUUCAGAAAUUCAUCAGUGUGAGUUCAUCAGAAGAGAAUCAGCAUUGCAGAUGCCAUGGGCUGAGAAAGACUAAUUUCCAAAAUGAGGGGAGGAAGUUCCCCUUAUCUCUUUUCAAACUUAUUUGUUGCCUCGUGGGAUAAGUCACCAAAAUGGGAAACAUGAAAAAAUAUUCAGCAAGAGACAGAACCGAGGAAAAUCAUCCCAAGUCUCUCAGACAUCAGCUGAAAACAGAUGAGCUGGGAAUACAGGUUGAAUACCCUUUGCAGUUCUUCCUUUGGACAAGUUCACUAAGUUCAGGAAACACCUUGGGAACAAUUCAUGUCAGUGUGUGUCUGUAUUGCUUCUGUCAUUAGCAUGAAGAGCCUCAAAGUAAUCUAAGUUAAUGAUCUGAUUACUAAUAAAGAGCAGCACUGGGUACAGGUCA
Molecule: non-coding RNA, 984 nt
Organism: Lonchura striata (white-rumped munia)
Lineage: Eukaryota; Metazoa; Chordata; Aves; Passeriformes; Estrildidae
Source: RefSeq, a predicted model, not a curated record